CGCCUCAGCCCCCUCCCCCUUCCGGGUACCUGGAAACUUCGGGCCCGGGAGCCAAUUCCUGCCGGGGACGCGGGCCCGGGCGGCCGCGGGAAGCCAAGGAUGCUACAUUUAGUGCUCAUGUCUCCCUAGGCUCCUUGUGGCUGUGACAAUUUUUCAUACUUUCCUUGUUUUUGCUGUCCUCCAUGGUUUUGAGGAAUACUGGUACCAUCAUCUCGGUGGAGCAUCUGUUCUCAAAAGUGCAGUCACAGAGGGAAUGACAUCCUGAUUUUUCUCUGCACGGGCAACAGAAGGACCUCGGCUUCACAUCCUGGCAAUUCUCAGCACUAUUCGAAGCCUCAGAGUCCUCUGCUUCCAUUGGCAGAAAAGGGAAGAACCAGUGGAGAAGCCAUAUCGGAUUCAUAAAACCCUGGCUCAGAGUGCUGUGUCUCCAGGACCUGGAACUGGGCUGCCAUGCGCUAGGCACUUGAGGACCAAAUACUGACCAGUAAAGUGGUUGAGCCAUAUCGGUCCACUGAGCCACAAGUAAUGCAUCGAAGAAAGAAUUUAAGAAGUUUCAUAGAAUAGGUCACCUCAUGGUAAACACUAUGGCAGCUGCUACCUACUGUUUUGUGUUAGAAGAAGCUUCCAUUUCUUCACCAUUUCAGAUCUGCUUUCCAUGCUGGACAUUCUUAAACUGUAAUGUAGAUGGAUUUUUCCUAACCCUCUGAUGGAAUGAUAACAUCAUGCACCAAGUCUCAUCCAGAAAUGUUGAAGCCACAUGAGGAGGACACCAAAGAACUCACUUCUCACAUUAUUGUUAGAAGAAACUCCAAGAGAGGUCUAAAGAGGAGAGAAAGAGAAGGAGGUGGAGAUGAGCAGCCUUACAGCAGCUGUGAAUCUGCCAACAGCCUGGAGGUGGGAGGACCUGUGUACAGAUCAACAGAGAAGAUCUCCUGGAGGAAGAGCAUUGACUUAAGUCAUGGAACCACCUACCUCUUUCUACUUAAAGGCAUAUUGCAUCUCUUACUUCCUUUUGGCCAAGGGACAAGAGGAAAUAAAAAGAAAAGGAAGGUGUAAGGACAAUCUGGCUGUGAUGUCUGUCACUCCAUCCGUCACCAGGGUUGAUUUGGCCCAUCCAGCUGGCUUGGCCUGCUUCAGUUCUACCUUUGCUACAAGCAAACCAUGGAGCCUUCCAGUGUUGGCUGUAUGGUCCUGUGCUAUUAGACUGCAAAGGCAAGAAAGAAG
Long non-coding RNA from Lutra lutra (Eurasian river otter), 1224 nucleotides. RefSeq lists it as uncharacterized. The record is from RefSeq and is a predicted model, not a curated record. The transcript has 11 exons. Lineage: Eukaryota; Metazoa; Chordata; Mammalia; Carnivora; Mustelidae.